GCCCAGGUGGCGGAAUUGGUAGAAGCGCACGUUUCAUGUGCGUGUGCCGCGAGGCGUGCAGGUUCGAGUCCUGUUCUGGGCA
RNAcentral lists this transfer RNA (82 nucleotides) under Bacteroidales bacterium. Its description in RNAcentral is "tRNA-Met". It matches the Rfam family "tRNA". From Rfam's summary of the family: Transfer RNA (tRNA) molecules are approximately 80 nucleotides in length. Their secondary structure includes four short double-helical elements and three loops (D, anti-codon, and T loops). Further hydrogen bonds mediate the characteristic L-shaped molecular structure. tRNAs have two regions of fundamental functional importance: the anti-codon, which is responsible for specific mRNA codon recognition, and the 3' end, to which the tRNAs corresponding amino acid is attached (by aminoacyl-tRNA synthetases). tRNAs cope with the degeneracy of the genetic code in two manners: having more than one tRNA (with a specific anti-codon) for a particular amino acid; and 'wobble' base-pairing, i.e. permitting non-standard base-pairing at the 3rd anti-codon position. Lineage: Bacteria; Pseudomonadati; Bacteroidota; Bacteroidia; Bacteroidales. The record is from RNAcentral.